This 441-nucleotide ribosomal RNA is filed under the name uncultured Oomycota. Its description in RNAcentral is "LSU rRNA". It matches the Rfam family "Eukaryotic large subunit ribosomal RNA", at positions 165 to 604 of the family's 3401-position model. The record is from RNAcentral. Lineage: Eukaryota; Oomycota.
AGCAUAGCGAUUUGGGAUAAGUCCCUUGGAAGAGGGCAGCAUGGAGGGUGAUACUCCCGUCUCUGCUCAGGUUGUCUGUGUGUACGAUACGCUUUCUUUGAGUCGAGUUGUUUGGGAAUACAGCUCAAAGCAGGUGGUAAAUUCCAUCUAAAGCUAAAUAUUGGUGCGAGACCGAUAGCGAACAAGUACCGUGAGGGAAAGAUGAAAAGAACUUUGAAAAGAGAGUUAAAGAGUACCUGAAACUGUUGAAAGGGAACCGUAUCGUUUCUAGUGUGUAUCCUAUGCAUAUUUCAUUGGCGGUUGUAAAAUUGCUGGUGCCCUGUGUAUGGGUGUGACGUCAGAGUCAGUUUGAAUUGCGGGAGAUGGGUAGUGAGGAGGUGCGUCACCUCUUGUGAAAGUUACAGCUCGCUAUCUAGUAGCCGUGGUUGAGACUGAGGUGCC